RNAcentral lists this ribosomal RNA (501 nucleotides) under Pichia kudriavzevii. Its description in RNAcentral is "eukaryotic LSU rRNA". The stretch from base 137 to 289 matches the Rfam family "5.8S ribosomal RNA". Lineage: Eukaryota; Fungi; Ascomycota; Pichiomycetes; Pichiales; Pichiaceae. The record is from RNAcentral.
CUUCCGUAGGUGAACCUGCGGAAGGAUCAUUACUGUGAUUUACUACUACACUGCGUGAGCGGAACGAAAACAACAACACCUAAAAUGUGGAAUAUAGCAUAUAGUCGACAAGAGAAAUCUACGAAAAAACAAACAAAACUUUCAACAACGGAUCUCUUGGUUCUCGCAUCGAUGAAGAGCGCAGCGAAAUGCGAUACCUAGUGUGAAUUGCAGCCAUCGUGAAUCAUCGAGUUCUUGAACGCACAUUGCGCCCCUCGGCAUUCCGGGGGGCAUGCCUGUUUGAGCGUCGUUUCCAUCUUGCGCGUGCGCAGAGUUGGGGGAGCGGAGCGGACGACGUGUAAAGAGCGUCGGAGCUGCGACUCGCCUGAAAGGGAGCGAAGCUGGCCGAGCGAACUAGACUUUUUUUCAGGGACGCUUGGCGGCCGAGAGCGAGUGUUGCGAGACAACAAAAAGCUCGACCUCAAAUCAGGUAGGAAUACCCGCUGAACUUAAGCAUAUCUU